ACCUACGGGAGGCAGCAGUAGGGAAUCUUCCACAAUGGGCGCAAGCCUGAUGGAGCAACACCGCGUGAGUGAAGAAGGGUUUCGGCUCGUAAAGCUCUGUUGUUGGAGAAGAACGUGCGUGAGAGUAACUGUUCACGCAGUGACGGUAUCUAACCAGAAAGCCACGGCUAACUACGUGCCAGCAGCCGCGGUAAUACGUAGGUGGCAAGCGUUAUCCGGAUUUAUUGGGCGUAAAGGGAACGCAGGCGGGCUUUU
This 255-nucleotide ribosomal RNA is filed under the name uncultured bacterium. Its description in RNAcentral is "partial 16S ribosomal RNA". It matches the Rfam family "Bacterial small subunit ribosomal RNA", at positions 337 to 584 of the family's 1533-position model. The record is from RNAcentral.